GUCCAUAAAGGUGCUGCCUUCCUCCAGAACAAACAACGGAAAUGCAUCAGGAGAGCUCGGCUGCAGACAGAAUGCACAUCAUGAAGCAGGAGCCACCCUGGGAUCCCUCAGAUGAAAGCUGAUUUCAAUGAACAUUGUGUUUCAAAGCCUGCUUCCUCUGGCCCUGUAAGGACUGCAGAAGGAACAUCCCACUUGCGUCUGCUGACACAAAAGAAUGCUGUGGCUGGGAGAUCUUAUCGAGCCUUCCUGUGCCACAGCAACAGAGCUCCAGUUGUGUCUCCUAAGAAUUGCUCAUUGUUUCGUGUGAGGACUAGCUCCUUUGGGUGGGAUCUGAUGGCAUCUCAUGGAGUUGGAGGUUUCCAGGAUAACUUGUGGAGACAGUGCUGUCCAUCUCUACUCCACUGACUAAGGUUUCUCUUUGAUGUUGAGUCCAGCUUUUGGAAGCCCUAUCCAAAGAAGCUUUCUUCUGUCACUUGCGAGUGAGACUGAUGCAAUCAAUGAUACUGUCUCUAGAUCUUCCUGCUGAAAGAAAGUACUCCUGACAUAUCUCUUCUGAUUGCCUGGAUUUCUGUUUCUCUAAAUUAUUAAUUAGUCACAAUGUAUCUAAAUGUUUAUGAUUGGCCUAUAAUUAAACAGAAUGUUGUUCAUUUAAUAAUUUAGCCUUUUAGAGUAAAUCAUUUUAGAAUGAACAAAUAACAUAUAACACAGAAGAAUUUCAAAAUAAUUAUGCUGAUUGAAACCAUACAAAAGAAUAUAUAGUGUACAAUUCUAUUUAUGUAAAACUUUGAAUAUGCAAAUUACUCUAAGAAAGAAAGAAAGAAAGAAAAUACAUCCAUGGUUG
RNAcentral lists this long non-coding RNA (841 nucleotides) under Heterocephalus glaber (naked mole-rat). RNAcentral's name for it is "lncRNA (ENSHGLG00000029258.2)". The record is from RNAcentral. Lineage: Eukaryota; Metazoa; Chordata; Mammalia; Rodentia; Bathyergidae.